This 424-nucleotide ribosomal RNA is filed under the name Verrucomicrobiota bacterium. RNAcentral's name for it is "Verrucomicrobia bacterium partial 16S ribosomal RNA". It matches the Rfam family "Bacterial small subunit ribosomal RNA", at positions 355 to 776 of the family's 1533-position model. Lineage: Bacteria; Pseudomonadati; Verrucomicrobiota. The record is from RNAcentral.
UGAGUAAUAUUGGUCAAUGGGCGAGAGCCUGAACCAGCCAAGUAGCGUGCAGGAUGACGGCCCUAUGGGUUGUAAACUGCUUUUAUAUGGGAAUAAAGUGAGGGACGUGUCCCUUAUUGCAUGUACCAUCCGAAUAAGGACCGGCUAAUUCCGUGCCAGCAGCCGCGGUAAUACGGAAGGUCCAGGCGUUAUCCGGAUUUAUUGGGUUUAAAGGGAGCGUCGGCUGUUUGUUAAGCGUGUUGUGAAAUGUAAGAGCUCAACUUUUAGAUUGCAGCGCGAACUGGCAGACUUGAGUGCGCACAACGUAGGCGGAAUUCAUGGUGUAGCGGUGAAAUGCUUAGAUAUCAUGACGAACUCCGAUUGCGAAGGCAGCUUACGGGAGCGCAACUGACGCUAAAGCUCGAAGGUGCGGGUAUCGAACAGG